This 737-nucleotide ribosomal RNA is filed under the name actinobacterium CP6. Its description in RNAcentral is "bacterial SSU rRNA". It matches the Rfam family "Bacterial small subunit ribosomal RNA", at positions 68 to 818 of the family's 1533-position model. Lineage: Bacteria; Bacillati; Actinomycetota; Actinomycetes. The record is from RNAcentral.
GAUGAAGCCCACUUGUGGGUGGAUUAGUGGCGAACGGGUGAGUAACACGUGAGUAACCUGCCCUUGACUCUGGGAUAAGCCUGGGAAACUGGGUCUAAUACCGGAUAUGACCUUCCAUCGCAUGGUGGUUGGUGGAAAGCUUUUGUGGUUUUGGAUGGACUCACGGCCUAUCAGCUUGUUGGUGAGGUAAUGGCUUACCAAGGCGACGACGGGUAGCCGGCCUGAGAGGGUGACCGGCCACACUGGGACUGAGACACGGCCCAGACUCCUACGGGAGGCAGCAGUGGGGAAUAUUGCACAAUGGGCGCAAGCCUGAUGCAGCGACGCCGCGUGAGGGAUGACGGCCUUCGGGUUGUAAACCUCUUUCAGUAGGGAAGAAGCCGCAAGGUGACGGUACCUGCAGAAGAAGCGCCGGCUAACUACGUGCCAGCAGCCGCGGUAAUACGUAGGGCGCAAGCGUUAUCCGGAAUUAUUGGGCGUAAAGAGCUCGUAGGCGGUUUGUCGCGUCUGCCGUGAAAGUCCGGGGCUCAACUCCGGAUCUGCGGUGGGUACGGGCAGACUAGAGUGAUGUAGGGGAGACUGGAAUUCCUGGUGUAGCGGUGAAAUGCGCAGAUAUCAGGAGGAACACCGAUGGCGAAGGCAGGUCUCUGGGCAUUAACUGACGCUGAGGAGCGAAAGCAUGGGGAGCGAACAGGAUUAGAUACCCUGGUAGUCCAUGCCGUAUACGUUGGGCACCU